This 262-nucleotide ribosomal RNA is filed under the name uncultured archaeon. RNAcentral's name for it is "partial 16S ribosomal RNA". It matches the Rfam family "Archaeal small subunit ribosomal RNA", at positions 718 to 982 of the family's 1478-position model. The record is from RNAcentral.
CACGACUACAUUAGAUACCCCUGUAGUCCCAGCCGUAAACUAUGCGCGUUAGGUGUAUCGGUGACCACGAGUUACCGAGGUGCCGAAGGGAAACCGUGAAACGUGCCGCCUGGGAAGUACGGUCGCAAGGCUGAAACUUAAAGGAAUUGCGGGGAGCACCACAACAGGUGGAGCCUGCGGUUUAAUUGGACUCAACGCCGGGAAGCUCACCGGAUAGGACAGCAGAAUGAUUGCCGGGCUGAAGACCCUGCAUGACUAGCUG